AGGGUUUGAUUCUGGCUCAGAUUGAACGCUGGCGGCAGGCCUAACACAUGCAAGUCGGGCGGUAACAGGGAGAAGCUUGCUUCUCCGCUGACGAGCGGCGGACGGGUGAGUAAUGUAUGGGGAUCUGCCUGAUGGCGGGGGAUAACUACUGGAAACGGUAGCUAAUACCGCAUAAUGUCUACGGACCAAAGCGGGGGACCUCCGGGCCUCGCGCCAUCAGAUGAACCCAUAUGGGAUUAGCUUGUAGGUGAGGUAACGGCUCACCUAGGCGACGAUCCCUAGCUGGUCUGAGAGGAUGAUCAGCCACACUGGGACUGAGACACGGCCCAG
This 330-nucleotide ribosomal RNA is filed under the name uncultured bacterium. RNAcentral describes it as "bacterial SSU rRNA". It matches the Rfam family "Bacterial small subunit ribosomal RNA", at positions 8 to 334 of the family's 1533-position model. The record is from RNAcentral.